CAGGGGUUAGUUUAUUAAAAUAUCAGUUUUGGGGAUUGAAGUUAGGAGAAGAUUCCUACCCCUGA
RNAcentral lists this transfer RNA (65 nucleotides) under Ommexecha virens. RNAcentral describes it as "tRNA-Pro". The record is from RNAcentral. Lineage: Eukaryota; Metazoa; Arthropoda; Insecta; Orthoptera; Ommexechidae.